GGUGAACGCUGGCGGUAGGCCUAACACUUGCAAGUCGAACGGCAGCACAGUAAGAGCUUGCUCUUACGGGUGGCGAGUGGCGGACGGGUGAGGAAUACAUCGGAAUCUACUUUUUCGUGGGGGAUAACGUAGGGAAACUUACGCUAAUACCGCAUACGACCUACGGGUGAAAGCAGGGGAUCUUCGGACCUUGCGCGAUUGAAUGAGCCGAUGUCGGAUUAGCUAGUUGGCGGGGUAAAGGCCCACCAAGGCGACGAUCCGAAGAUGGUCUGAGAGGGUGAUCAGCCACACUGGAACUGAGACAGGGCCCAGACUCCUACGGGGGGCCGCAGUGGGGAAUAUUGGACGAGGGGGGCAAGCCUGAUCCAGCCAUACCGCGUGGGUGAAGAAGGCCUUCGGGUUGUAAAGCCAUUUUGUUGGGAAAGAAAAGCAGCAGGUUAAUACCCCGCUGUUCUGACGGUACCCAAAGAAUAAGCACCGGCUAACUUCGUG
Molecule: ribosomal RNA, 492 nt
Filed under: uncultured bacterium
Lineage: Bacteria
Description: partial 16S ribosomal RNA
Rfam family: Bacterial small subunit ribosomal RNA
Source: RNAcentral